RNAcentral lists this ribosomal RNA (410 nucleotides) under uncultured bacterium. Its description in RNAcentral is "bacterial SSU rRNA". It matches the Rfam family "Bacterial small subunit ribosomal RNA", at positions 355 to 770 of the family's 1533-position model. The record is from RNAcentral.
UGGGGAAUAUUGCACAAUGGGCGGAAGCCUGAUGCAGCGACGCCGCGUGGGGGAUGACGGCCUUCGGGUUGUAAACCUCUUUCAGUGCAGAACAAGGCUCUUUGUGGGAUGAGGGUAUGCGCAGAAGAAGCGCCAGCUAACUACGUGCCAACAGCCGCGGUAAUACGUAGGGCGCGAGCGUUGUCCGGAUUCAUUGGGCGUAAAGAGCUCGUAGGCGGUUUGUCGCGUCAGCUGUGAAAUCCUUUGGCGUGACUGGGGGCGUGCAGUAGGUACGGGCAUGCUGGAGUGCGGUAGGGGGGACUGGAAUGCCUGGUGUAGCGGUGGAAUGCGCAUAUAUCAGGGUGAACACCGGUGGCGAAGGCAGGUCUCUGGUCCGUUACUGACGCUGGUGAGCGAAAGCAUGGGGAGCG